Molecule: ribosomal RNA, 253 nt
Filed under: uncultured bacterium
Lineage: Bacteria
Description: partial 16S ribosomal RNA
Rfam family: Bacterial small subunit ribosomal RNA
Source: RNAcentral
UACGUAGGGUCCGAGCGUUGUCCGGAAUUACUGGGCGUAAAGAGCUCGUAGGCGGUUUGUCGCGUCUGCCGUGAAAGUCCGGGGCUCAACUCCGGAUCUGCGGUGGGUACGGGCAGACUAGAGUGAUGUAGGGGAGACUGGAAUUCCUGGUGUAGCGGUGAAAUGCGCAGAUAUCAGGAGGAACACCGGUGGCGAAGGCGGGUCUCUGGGCCGAUAUUGACGCUGAGGAGCGAAAGCGUGGGGAGCGAACAGG